GUGAGAUAAGGCACGAGUUCGUUGUAGGCUCUGUGAAGUUAGCUUUAAGUUUGCUGUGUACGGGGCGGCCCAAGUGCACGCACGUUCUCGUGGCAAAACAAGAAACCGAACGCAACAACGUGCAUUUAGCAAACGACGACGAGGUUCGCUUUGAUGGCCGAUCUACUACACCAACCGAGAUUGCUUUCGAAUUGCAAAGCAAUGUUGGGACGACACGCUCACUGACAACCCUAAGACUCUCUCGAUAUUAACCACAUUGCACGGUUAUGUAUUCUCGAUGAGUCGGAAGGAGGGCAGGUUUCUACUGAUGAUGAUAGUAGCUGUUCCAUCUUGGAAGCAUCAUCUGGCAAGAGGACCGAUUCCGUCCUCUAACUUUAGAGAAUCGACACGAAAAGUAGAUGGCUUGUUUAGCCUCGCCACGCGAUGUACAUCCUUUGUGUCCCUCGAACACAAGAGAUGUGGAUGUACAGCCCUGAACACCGGAAGUUCUCUCUCUCUCUCUCUCUCUCUCUCUCUCUCCCUCCCUCUCUCUUUUUUCCCCUCUUUCUACUGCCCUUCUUUGCCGAUCCAACGAGUUACCUUCGACUUAAUCGACGAUGUCGAUUUUUUUUUAAUCCUCCUUUUAUAUUAACGAUAGUAGAAAAUACGUAUAGAGAAAUUCUAUGAUUUUACUUAAUUCAUGUUUUGCAUAGCAUAUGCGAAUAAGUAUAUAAAUACUUUACAUUAAAAUUUCUA
Molecule: long non-coding RNA, 735 nt
Organism: Vespa crabro (European hornet)
Lineage: Eukaryota; Metazoa; Arthropoda; Insecta; Hymenoptera; Vespidae
Exons: 3
Source: RefSeq, a predicted model, not a curated record